UUGUUGAAAGAAUCAAUCCUCGUGUAUGUUGGGCAGCUAUAAAUGCAAUCAAGGAGUUUCCAAGAAUGUUAUGCCUGAAUUUUAUAGAAAAUGGUGUGAGUAGCAUACCAGAGAGUACUGAAAUGGCAUAUCUCAUGCCCUGAAAAUCAAAUUGAUGAAGUAUUUUGUUCUACAGAAGAAUGGUAGGAGGUUAUACAUUCAAGUGGCAUCUCUUACUCCCCAAAAAGAUCAAAUUGGUUAGUAGUGCAGGGUAACUGCUAUAACCUCUGUUUCAAAGAAUCCUACACGUACUGAUUGCUGACAACAGUGUGGAGAGUUUGUGAGAGUCUCUUCACAGAAUGGUGGCUUGGAAUAUUGCAUUUGAUCAGUAAGAUAAUUCGGUUCAGAGAGAAAACUCGAGGCCAACGAAGAAUGCUUCUUUAUUUACUGAAACAAUGCAGAAGAUGCAACAAGCUAGAAAACCAUGGUCCCAGAUUCAUGGAUGAGACUAGCUGGGAGAAUGCAGGAAGGCUUUAUUUCAACUUCAAAACUCGAGGAUCCUGAAGAUAUUAAUGGCCUCAGUCACAUGGCCUGUGCUCAUUGUAGCCAUUCCUGCUAUUGUACUUUCAAAAUAUGUUCAGGGAUAUUAUCCCUCCUCAGCAAGAGACUUAAUGAGAAUGAAUGGAACAACCAAAGCACCCAUUUUGAAUUUCGCAGCUUUUAACAAGAUGGAUAUGUUCUUCCAAAACUACCUUAAGCUCGUUGACACAGACGCAAGGCUUUUCUUCCAUUCUAAUGCUGCUACGGAGUGGUUAGUUUUACGAAUUGAAGCAAUUCAGAAUCUGAUUGUAUUCGCUGCUGCUCUUUUUAUAGUUCUGCUUCCUGGAAAACAUUUACCAGCUAAUUCCAA
Molecule: long non-coding RNA, 889 nt
Organism: Pistacia vera
Lineage: Eukaryota; Viridiplantae; Streptophyta; Magnoliopsida; Sapindales; Anacardiaceae
Exons: 6
Source: RefSeq, a predicted model, not a curated record